GAAAAGAAAAAGAGACUACAUGCACCUUUGCAUGACUGUCUUGGUGUGCCUCUCAGGAAGAACGUUCUCCCGUAUGUAUUUUCUCCUUCCCUUUUUUGGGUUCUUUUUCUGACUUGAAAAAGGACAUGAAAGGCGGCAUGUACAGAACGAAACGGUGUGACCAUGAAAGAAAUAAACAGCGAAGAGAAAAGAGAAUGAAUGCAUUUUUUUCGUUCUCCAAUCUCGUGUAGCCGAGAAGAGGAAAGCGAAAGAAAGAAA
RNAcentral lists this non-coding RNA (258 nucleotides) under Palpitomonas bilix. The record is from RNAcentral.